RNAcentral lists this ribosomal RNA (426 nucleotides) under uncultured prokaryote. RNAcentral's name for it is "bacterial SSU rRNA". It matches the Rfam family "Bacterial small subunit ribosomal RNA", at positions 355 to 796 of the family's 1533-position model. The record is from RNAcentral.
UGGGGAAUUUUCCGCAAUGGGGGGAACCCUGACGGAGCAACGCCGCGUGCGGGGGGACGGCCUGUGGGUUGUAAACCGCUUUUCUCUGGGAAGAAGCUCUGACGGUACCAGAGGAAUCAGCAUCGGCUAACUCCGUGCCAGCAGCCGCGGUAAGACGGAGGGCGCUAGCGUUGUUCGGAAUCACUGGGCGUAAAGGGCGCGUAGGCGGCUGCUUAAGUCGAGGGUGAAAGCCCGGGGCUCAACCUCGGAACGGCCUUCGAGACUGGGCGGCUAGAGAUCGGAAGAGGAGGGUGGAAUACCCAGUGUAGAGGUGAAAUUCGUAGAUAUUGGGUGGAACACCAGUGGCGAAAGCGGCUCUCUGGUCCGGAUCUGACGCUGAGGCGCGAAAGCGUGGGGAGCAAACAGGAUUAGAUACCCGCGUAGUCC